UACGGGGGGGGCAAGCGUUGUUCGGAAUUACUGGGCGUAAAGGGCUCGUAGGCGGCCAACUAAGUCAGACGUGAAAUCCCUCGGCUUAACCGGGGAACUGCGUCUGAUACUGGAUGGCUUGAAUCCGGGAGAGGGAUGCGGAAUUCCAGGUGUAGCGGUGAAAUGCGUAGAUAUCUGGAGGAACACCGGUGGCGAAGGCGGCAUCCUGGACCAGCACUGACACUGAGGCACGAAAGCGUGGGGAGCAAACAGG
Molecule: ribosomal RNA, 253 nt
Filed under: uncultured bacterium
Lineage: Bacteria
Description: partial 16S ribosomal RNA
Rfam family: Bacterial small subunit ribosomal RNA
Source: RNAcentral